AUGUGUCGAAAGACGCCGAGGCUCCACUGCAUACAAAAUAGCAACUCUGUUGUUCAACAAGAUGCACAUGGCCAUAUUCAGAGCUCCUAUGUGUUUUUUGACUACAAUCCGAGUGGGAGCAUCUUGAAUAGAGAAUGUGGAAGAAGCCAAAGGGCGAGCCAUUUUGAUUGGCCUCAAGUCGCUUUCAGCCGUGUACAGAGGGCCCAUAAUCAUAUCAUUGAAACUAACACCCAAGGAUUGGAGGUGGGCAGGCCUAAUAGGUCUGGUUGUUUCUCUUUCAUCAGCGAUGUAAAAAAAUGA
This 300-nucleotide ribosomal RNA is filed under the name Triticum aestivum (bread wheat). Its description in RNAcentral is "partial small subunit ribosomal RNA". The record is from RNAcentral. Lineage: Eukaryota; Viridiplantae; Streptophyta; Magnoliopsida; Poales; Poaceae.